CGACGGGUAGCCGGCCUGAGAGGGUGACCGGCCACACUGGGACUGAGACACGGCCCAGACUCCUACGGGAGGCAGCAGUGGGGAAUAUUGCACAAUGGGCGAAAGCCUGAUGCAGCAACGCCGCGUGAGGGAUGACGGCCUUCGGGUUGUAAACCUCUUUUAGCAGGGAAGAAGCGAAAGUGACGGUACCUGCAGAAAAAGCGCCGGCUAACUACGUGCCAGCAGCCGCGGUAAUACGUAGGGCGCAAGCGUUAUCCGGAAUUAUUGGGCGUAAAGAGCUCGUAGGCGGUUUGUCGCGUCUGCUGUGAAAUCCCGAGGCUCAACCUCGGGCCUGCAGUGGGUACGGGCAGACUAGAGUGCGGUAGGGGAGAUUGGAAUUCCUGGUGUAGCGGUGGAAUGCGCAGAUAUCAGGAGGAACACCGAUGGCGAAGGCAGAUCUCUGGGCCGUAACUGACGCUGAGGAGCGAAAGGGUGGGGAGCAAACAGGCUUAGAUACCCUGGUAGUCCACCCCGUAAACGUUGGGAACUAGUUGUGGGGUCCAUUCCACGGAUUCCGUGACGCAGCUAACGCAUUAAGUUCCCCGCCUGGGGAGUACGGCCGCAAGGCUAAAACUCAAAGGAAUUGACGGGGACCCGCACAAGCGGCGGAGCAUGCGGAUUAAUUCGAUGCAACGCGAAGAACCUUACCAAGGCUUGACAU
RNAcentral lists this ribosomal RNA (700 nucleotides) under Microbacterium ginsengiterrae. Its description in RNAcentral is "bacterial SSU rRNA". It matches the Rfam family "Bacterial small subunit ribosomal RNA", at positions 277 to 987 of the family's 1533-position model. The record is from RNAcentral. Lineage: Bacteria; Bacillati; Actinomycetota; Actinomycetes; Micrococcales; Microbacteriaceae.